CGAUAUGAUGAUCAACAAUUAUCUAUAACUUUCGUUCUACCGCAUUCGAUCAAACGAUCGUGAGGAGAAAUUUAGACCUGAUC
This 83-nucleotide small nucleolar RNA is filed under the name Saitoella complicata NRRL Y-17804. RNAcentral's name for it is "Small nucleolar RNA snR54". It matches the Rfam family "Small nucleolar RNA snR54". From Rfam's summary of the family: snR54 is a member of the C/D class of snoRNA which contain the C (UGAUGA) and D (CUGA) box motifs. Most of the members of the box C/D family function in directing site-specific 2'-O-methylation of substrate RNAs. Lineage: Eukaryota; Fungi; Ascomycota; Saitoellomycetes; Saitoellales; Saitoellaceae. The record is from Rfam by way of RNAcentral.